GAUGAACGCUAGCUACAGGCUUAACACAUGCAAGUCGAGGGGCAGCAUGUCGGUUGCUUGCAACCGACGAUGGCGACCGGCGCACGGGUGAGUAACGCGUAUCCAACCUACCCUUGUCCAUCGGAUAACCCGUCGAAAGGCGGCCUAACACGAUAUGCGGUUCUCAGCAGGCAUCUAACGAGAACGAAAUGUGAAGGAGAAGGAUGGGGAUGCGUCUGAUUAGCUUGUUGGCGGGGUAACGGCCCACCAAGGCGACGAUCAGUAGGGGUUAUGAGAGGAAGGUCCCCCACAUUGGAACUGAGACACGGUCCAAACUCCUACGGGAGGCAGCAGUGAGGAAUAUUGGUCAAUGGGCGAGAGCCUGAACCAGCCGAGUAGCGUGCAGGACGACGGCCCUAUGGGUUGUAAACUGCUUUUAUAAGGGAAUAAAGUGAGUCUCGUGAGACUUUUUGCAUGUACCUUAUGAAUAAGGACCGGCUAAUUCCGUG
This 488-nucleotide ribosomal RNA is filed under the name uncultured bacterium. Its description in RNAcentral is "bacterial SSU rRNA". It matches the Rfam family "Bacterial small subunit ribosomal RNA", at positions 28 to 507 of the family's 1533-position model. The record is from RNAcentral.